Molecule: small nucleolar RNA, 125 nt
Filed under: Macleaya cordata
Lineage: Eukaryota; Viridiplantae; Streptophyta; Magnoliopsida; Ranunculales; Papaveraceae
Source: RNAcentral
GAGCAAUGGCGUCUUAAUUUGAUGACGAGAUCUUUGCAUUGAAGGUUGGCAAUAACAAUUAGCGAUUCUCCGUGCCUCUCAAAUUACUUUCAUUUUGAUUAUGGCCUCGAACAAGUCGCGAUAUU